Salvia splendens (bonfire salvia) is the source of this 1294-nucleotide long non-coding RNA. RefSeq lists it as uncharacterized. The transcript is spliced from 4 exons. NCBI's taxonomy places the organism in Eukaryota, Viridiplantae, Streptophyta, Magnoliopsida, Lamiales, Lamiaceae. The record is from RefSeq and is a predicted model, not a curated record.
CUCACUCUCAACCCCACCUACACGUUCUCCUCAAAACAAAAUAGCAACUCUCUCUCUCUAGAUCAUCAAGUUCAGAUUCUCUCUCUCGACCUCUCCUCUUUAAAUUAAAAUGGAAACAUACUGAAAUUCUCAUCCCUCUCUUCUCACUUCACAGAAACUCAAAUUUCUACUCUAGUCACAGCUCUCUCUUUACUGCACCAGUAAUCGCCGCCCAUAGCUGCUGAAACUCGCCGCGUCUCUUCCCAAAAUCUGUCAUCCGUUGCUGAAACUCCAGGCAUCCAUCGUAGCUACUACUGCCCCUCCGUCGCCGCUGAGCUCCAGGCAUCGUCGCCGGCUGUAAUACCCCGACAUUUUCUGCCCCUUUUUAUUUGUUCCCGUAGUGACAUCGUUUGUGCACAUGAAAAUUUUUGCUUUUGUUUCGUUAGUCGAUGGAAGGAUAUAUCAUUUUUGGCCUAUCACUUUUGUCUAAUUUUUUUAGGUCAUUUAUCCUUAUUCAAUAGGUCUACUUUUAAUAUAUCCAUUUAUUCAUAAUCCAACAUAAAUCCCUUCUUCUAAACCCUUUCUACACGUUUUCUUUAUUCAUCAAUAUCCCUACUCCCUGAAAUCUCUCCAACCAACAAAUCCAUCAAUAUCUAUUAGUUUUGCCUAUAUAUAUACCCAAACCACUCUACAUAUUUCACGUUACACAUCCAAAUUUUGAUAGAGGAAACCGAGAGGGAGUAGAGAGAGACUAUGAUUUCUUCCACCCAAUUCUAUCAUGCAAUUACAAGGAUUUUCUUUCGCAAGCGAGUUAAGGUGAAGUGAGAGAGUUUUCAAGUUAAGAAUUGUAAGAGAACAAGUCGCGAUCAACCGUGUUUUCUAUCCUUAGAAAAUGCGGGCGUGACACCGGCGUUCCCGUUGUGCAGCACCGUUCUCACAAACGAAUAAAAAUUGAAGCUUUGACUAUUGAUGUGGUACUCAAAAAGAUCUCAGCCGUGUUCUACGAAAUCCAUUACUGAACUAUAUGAUUAUGAACAAGAAUUUCAUGGAGAAAAAGACACGAGUAUACCUCUAGUUUAAAGGAAUAAAUUUGUAGAGCAAAAUCUGAAAACUCACGGCUGCCCGACUCCUUUUGCUAUCUCAGAAUUUGGAGGAAAGGUAAAAAUUUGUGGAACGGUUUGGGUGUAUAUAUUCACAUGUAAAUUGUAUAUUUGAAACUGAUAUGGAGUAGUUGAGAUAUAUAUGGGCUACACGUUUGUAUAUGAAAUUGAGAAUUUAUCCCUCUUUUUUAGGGUGGCGGAGAGAUUUGAGAUAA